UGGCGCGGACAUUUUCUUUGGUUAUCUAGCUGUAUGAGUAUUAUUCGACAUCAUAAAGCUAGGUUACCGGAGUUAAGCUCCUCGCCA
RNAcentral lists this microRNA precursor (87 nucleotides) under Apis mellifera (honey bee). RNAcentral describes it as "microRNA ame-mir-9a precursor". Its record names the gene ame-mir-9a. The stretch from base 6 to 82 matches the Rfam family "mir-9/mir-79 microRNA precursor family". From Rfam's summary of the family: The mature ~21nt miRNAs are processed from hairpin precursor sequences represented here. miR-9 is processed from the 5' arm of its precursor, and miR-79 from the 3' arm. The bounds of the precursors are predicted based on conservation and base pairing and are not generally known. The record is from miRBase by way of RNAcentral. Lineage: Eukaryota; Metazoa; Arthropoda; Insecta; Hymenoptera; Apidae.